ACAAACUGUAAUACCAGUAUUCAUCUAAGCACCAUAAACCCACACAAAAGACCUGGAAUACAAAGAAAGGCUCCAUGACCUGCUCUUUCAUUAGUUUCUGAAAUGUUGGCUGAGGAUAUUCAAACACGUUCCUGCCCCAUUUCUCACUUGCAGCAAUAACUUUAGCUUCAGUUCCAUGGCCAGUAUUCUUAAGGUAGUAUCCAAACGUCUCUUUUGAAGGGUAAGGAAGUUUGCUGAAAGUUCCUUUCUCCUUUGAAUAGAUGUAUUGUUGCUUCCUGAACUCAAAAUAAAUCUCAUCCACACCCUCAGAAGACGAAGAACCAGCAAGCUUUCGAAAGUGAAGAGGCACAACUUCUUUACUUCCAGAGAACUUAGCUGGGGUGACUUUACAACAAUCUGCUAGAUGUAUGUCAUCCACCUUGGAAUACUGAACAAAACGCUUGAAAUCAACGGACCAAACAGUGAACAAGAAGACCAGAGAAUGAAAGGCAACGAGGGCACCAAGAACUAUCAAAGCAUCCGUAAUAUCUAAGCUAGGUACUACAGUUAGAAGCCAAACACCGUAGAGGAUAACAAAGGGCCAAACAUCCAAACGCCAUGACCAGUGUCUCUUCUUGAGUAAAUCCACACUCUCCACCACUUUCCCACCCACUUGAAACCGCGUCAUCUCUCAAUUCUCUCCAAUGCGCCGCCGCCGCCGCUGUCGCCGUCGCCGUCCCGCCGAUUGAUACAAUCUUAACGAACAGUUAAAAAUUCCGAUCUAGUUGAAUGAGAUUGGG
This 779-nucleotide unclassified non-coding RNA is filed under the name Hevea brasiliensis (rubber tree). Lineage: Eukaryota; Viridiplantae; Streptophyta; Magnoliopsida; Malpighiales; Euphorbiaceae. The record is from RNAcentral.